AGAGUUUGAUCAUGGCUCAGAUUGAACGCUGGCGACAGGCUUAACACAUGCAAGUCGAACGGUAACAGGAAGAAAGCUUGCUUUCUUUGCUGACGAGUGGCGGACGGGUGAGUAAUGCUUGGGAAUCUGGCUUAUGGAGGGGGAUAACUACGGGAAACUGUAGCUAAUACCGCGUAGUAUCGAGAGAUGAAAGUGUGGGACCGCAAGGCCACAUGCCAUAAGAUGAGCCCAAGUGGGAUUAGGUAGUUGGUUAGGUAAAGGCUGACCAAGCCGACGAUCUCUAGCUGGUCUGAGAGGAUGACCAGCCACACUGGAACUGAGACACGGUCCAGACUCCUACGGGAGGCAGCAGUGGGGAGUAUUGCACAAUGGGGGGAACCCUGAUGCAGCCAUGCCGCGUGAAUGAAGAAGGCCUUCGGGUUGUAAAGUUCUUUCGGUGAUGAGGAAGGUGUUUGUUUUAAUAGAACAAGCAAUUGACGUUAGUCACAGAAGAAGCACCGGCUAACUCCGUGCCAGCAGCCGCGGUAAUACGGAGGGUGCGAGCGUUAAUCGGAAUAACUGGGCGUAAAGGGCACGCAGGCGGUGACUUAAGUGAGAUGUGAAAGCCCCGAGCUUAACUUGGGAAUUGCAUUUCAUACUGGGUCGCUAGAGUACUUUAGGGAGGGGUAGAAUUCCACGUGUAGCGGUGAAAUGCGUAGAGAUGUGGAGGAAUACCGAAGGCGAAGGCAGCCCCUUGGGAAUGUACUGACGCUCAUGUGCGAAAGCGUGGGGAGCAAACAGGAUUAGAUACCCUGGUAGUCCACGCUGUAAACGCUGUCGAUUUGGGGAUUGGGUUUUAUGCUUGGUGCCCGUAGCUAACGUGAUAAAUCGACCGCCUGGGGA
Molecule: ribosomal RNA, 882 nt
Filed under: uncultured bacterium
Lineage: Bacteria
Description: bacterial SSU rRNA
Rfam family: Bacterial small subunit ribosomal RNA
Source: RNAcentral